GUAGGUGGCAAGCGUUGUCCGGAAUUAUUGGGCGUAAAGCGCGCGCAGGCGGGUUCUUUAAGUCUGAUGUGAAAGCCCACGGGCUCAACCGUGGAGGGUCAUUGGAAACUGGAGAACUUGAGUACAGAAGAGGAAAGCGGAAUUCCACGUGUAGCGGCGAAAUGCGUAGAGAUGUGGAGGAACACCAGUGGCGAAGGCGGCUUUCUGGUCUGUAACUGACGCUGAGGCGCGAAAGCGUGGGGAGCAAACAGGAUUAGAUACCCUGGUAGUCCACGCCGUAAACGAUGAGUGCUAAGUGUUAGGGGGUUUCCGCCCCUUAGUGCUGCAGCUAACGCAUUAAGCACUCCGCCUGGGGAGUACGGCCGCAAGGCUG
RNAcentral lists this ribosomal RNA (373 nucleotides) under uncultured organism. Its description in RNAcentral is "partial 16S ribosomal RNA". It matches the Rfam family "Bacterial small subunit ribosomal RNA", at positions 527 to 896 of the family's 1533-position model. The record is from RNAcentral.